RNAcentral lists this ribosomal RNA (301 nucleotides) under uncultured bacterium. RNAcentral's name for it is "partial 16S ribosomal RNA". It matches the Rfam family "Bacterial small subunit ribosomal RNA", at positions 509 to 807 of the family's 1533-position model. The record is from RNAcentral.
CAGUAGCCGCGGUAAUACAGAGGGUGCGAGCGUUAAUCGGAUUUACUGGGCGUAAAGCGUGCGUAGGUGGCUUCUUAAGUCGGAUGUGAAAUCCCUGAGCUUAACUUAGGAAUUGCAUUCGAUACUGGGAAGCUAGAGUAUGGGAGAGGAUGGUAGAAUUCCAGGUGUAGCGGUGAAAUGCGUAGAGAUCUGGAGGAAUACCGAUGGCGAAGGCAGCCAUCUGGCCUAAUACUGACGCUGAGGUACGAAAGCAUGGGGAGCAAACAGGAUUAGAUACCCCUGUAGUCCCUGUCUCUUAUAC